Molecule: ribosomal RNA, 268 nt
Filed under: uncultured bacterium
Lineage: Bacteria
Description: partial 16S ribosomal RNA
Rfam family: Bacterial small subunit ribosomal RNA
Source: RNAcentral
AUUGAACGCUGGCGGCAGGCCUAACACAUGCAAGUCGAGCGGUAGAGAGGUGCUUGCAUCUCUUGAGAGCGGCGGACGGGUGAGUAAUGCCUAGGAAUCUGCCUAGUGGUGGGGGGAUAACGUUCGGAAACGGACGCUAAUACCGCAUACGUCCUACGGGAGAAAGCGGGGGAUCGUUCGGACCUCGCGCCAUUAGAUGAGCCUAGGUCGGAUUAGCUAGUUGGUGAGGUAAUGGCUCACCAAGGCGACGAUCCGUAACUGGUCUGAG